GGGCGUAUAGCUCAGUGGCAGCUGCCAGAGCAUCUAGAGAAUUCGACUGCAGAUCGAGAUGUCCCUGGUUCAACUCCGGAUGCCCCCU
Molecule: transfer RNA, 88 nt
Filed under: Caenorhabditis remanei
Lineage: Eukaryota; Metazoa; Nematoda; Chromadorea; Rhabditida; Rhabditidae
Rfam family: tRNA
About the family: Transfer RNA (tRNA) molecules are approximately 80 nucleotides in length.
Source: Rfam by way of RNAcentral